Sus scrofa (pig) is the source of this 390-nucleotide non-coding RNA. The record is from RefSeq and is a predicted model, not a curated record. NCBI's taxonomy places the organism in Eukaryota, Metazoa, Chordata, Mammalia, Artiodactyla, Suidae.
UGCUGCUAUCCAAAUCUGAAUCCAUGAAUGCUCAGCCAUGAGUCCAGCUGGGAAUGAGUUGGGACAGAUGGAGGGAAAAGCAAGGAGAGGUGCCUGAAUGGAGCUCAUCUGAAUCAGCCUGUCACUUAGAGUGACUCUGAGGGGUUGGCUCUUGUAUGCUAGAAAAAUCUCUGAACUUUGUAUUGUUUGUGAAAUGGAAUCUGGACCUCUUCAGAAGGCUUGAGUACAGGUGGGCAAGCAGAGGGCCUCCAUCUCAAAGGCAGAAAAACAUGAUCCAGGAUUUAAGACGGCAAAAGAUCACAUAACUCAGGUGUUCAGCACCAAUGCCCAAAGAGGACAAUGAGCCAGCCACCCACAUCUGGUACAACUUACCAUCCAAUUUCAGGUAAG